AUUGAACGCUGGCGGCAGGCUUAACACAUGCAAGUCGAACGAGUGGCGGACGGGUGAGUAAUGUUUGGGAAACUGGCUGAUGGAGGGGGAUAACUACUGGAAACUGUAGCUAAUACCGCGUACCAUCGGAUGAGCCCAAGUGGGAUUAGGUAGUUGGUGGGGUAACGGCUCACCAAGCCGACGAGCUCUCGCUGGUCUGAGAGGAUGACCAGCCACACUGUGACUGAGACACGGCCCAGACUCCUACGGGCGGCAGCAGUGGGGAAUAUUGCGCAAUGGGGGCAACCUGACGCAGCCAUGCCGCGUGAAUGAAGAAGGCCUUCGGGUUGUAAAGUUCUGUCGGUAGCGAGGCGUUAACUACAGAAGAAGCACCGGCUAACUCCGUGCCAGCAGCCGCGGUAAUAC
Molecule: ribosomal RNA, 405 nt
Filed under: uncultured bacterium
Lineage: Bacteria
Description: partial 16S ribosomal RNA
Rfam family: Bacterial small subunit ribosomal RNA
Source: RNAcentral